AAUACAUCCCUCACAGGUCCUCCCUGAGGCAGUGGGGCUAGGAUUUGGUAGCUGGUGCCGAGAAAAGACCCUUUGACUUCUUUGGCAUCUUUGCUCUGGGACUCUACCAGCGGCAACUGUCACUCAAUGGGACAGAG
Molecule: small nucleolar RNA, 137 nt
Filed under: Otolemur garnettii (small-eared galago)
Lineage: Eukaryota; Metazoa; Chordata; Mammalia; Primates; Galagidae
Description: Small nucleolar RNA SNORA30/SNORA37 family (ENSOGAG00000017855.1)
Source: RNAcentral